This 413-nucleotide ribosomal RNA is filed under the name uncultured bacterium. Its description in RNAcentral is "bacterial SSU rRNA". It matches the Rfam family "Bacterial small subunit ribosomal RNA", at positions 30 to 443 of the family's 1533-position model. The record is from RNAcentral.
AUUGAACGCUGGCGGCAUGCUUUACACAUGCAAGUCGAACGGGCUUAGGGGCUUGCUCCUAAGUUAGUGGCGAACGGGUGAGUAAUACAUCGGAACGUACCGUGUAGUGGGGGAUAACGUAGCGAAAGUUACGCUAAUACCGCAUACGAUCUACGGAUGAAAGUGGGGGACCUUCGGGCCUCACGCUAUACGAGCGGCCGAUGUCUGAUUAGCUAGUUGGUGAGGUAAAGGCUCACCAAGGCAACGAUCAGUAGCGGGUCUGAGAGGAUGAUCCGCCACACUGGGACUGAGACACGGCCCAGACUCCUACGGGAGGCAGCAGUGGGGAAUUUUGGACAAUGGGCGAAAGCCUGAUCCAGCCAUGCCGCGUGUCUGAAGAAGGCCUUCGGGUUGGUUAAAGGACGUUUUAGUUC